RNAcentral lists this ribosomal RNA (253 nucleotides) under uncultured bacterium. Its description in RNAcentral is "partial 16S ribosomal RNA". It matches the Rfam family "Bacterial small subunit ribosomal RNA", at positions 524 to 776 of the family's 1533-position model. The record is from RNAcentral.
UACGUAGGGGGCUAGCGUUGUCCGGAAUCAUUGGGCGUAAAGAGCGUGUAGGCGGCCCGGUAAGUCCGCUGUGAAAGUCGGGGGCUCAACCCUCGGAUGCCGGUGGAUACUGUCGGGCUCGAGUACGGAAGAGGCGAGUGGAAUUCCUGGUGUAGCGGUGAAAUGCGCAGAUAUCAGGAGGAACACCGGUGGCGAAGGCGGGUCUCUGGGCCGUUACUGACGCUGAGGAGCGAAAGCGUGGGGAGCGAACAGG